RNAcentral lists this ribosomal RNA (399 nucleotides) under Escherichia coli 1-250-04_S3_C1. RNAcentral's name for it is "partial 16S ribosomal RNA". The record is from RNAcentral. Lineage: Bacteria; Pseudomonadati; Pseudomonadota; Gammaproteobacteria; Enterobacterales; Enterobacteriaceae.
UGACUCCAACUUACUGAUAGUGUUUUAUGUUCAGAUAAUGCCCGAUGACCUUGUCAUGCAGCUCCACCGAUUUUGAGAACGACAGUGACUUCCGUCCCAGCCUUGCCAGAUGUUGUCUCAGAUUCAGAUUAUGUCGCUCAAUGCGCUGAGUGUAACGCUUGCUGAUAACGUGCAGCUUUCCCUUCAGGCGUGAUUCAUACAGCGGCCAGCCAUCCGUCAUCCAUACCACGACCUCAAAGGCCGACAGCAGGCUCAUAAGACGCUCCAGUGUGGCCAGAGUGCGUUCACCGAAAACGUGCGCCACAACUGUCCUCCGUAUCCUGUCAUACGCGUAAAACAGCCAGCGCUGACGUGAUUUAGCACCGACGUAGCCCCACUGUUCGUCCAUUUCAGCGCAGA